GCCCUGGUGGCUCAGAUGGUAAAGCGCCUGUCUGCAAUGCAGGAGACCCGGGUUUGAUCCCUGGAUUGGGAA
Molecule: transfer RNA, 72 nt
Filed under: Ovis aries (sheep)
Lineage: Eukaryota; Metazoa; Chordata; Mammalia; Artiodactyla; Bovidae
Rfam family: tRNA
About the family: Transfer RNA (tRNA) molecules are approximately 80 nucleotides in length. Their secondary structure includes four short double-helical elements and three loops (D, anti-codon, and T loops). Further hydrogen bonds mediate the characteristic L-shaped molecular structure. tRNAs have two regions of fundamental functional importance: the anti-codon, which is responsible for specific mRNA codon recognition, and the 3' end, to which the tRNAs corresponding amino acid is attached (by aminoacyl-tRNA synthetases). tRNAs cope with the degeneracy of the genetic code in two manners: having more than one tRNA (with a specific anti-codon) for a particular amino acid; and 'wobble' base-pairing, i.e. permitting non-standard base-pairing at the 3rd anti-codon position.
Source: Rfam by way of RNAcentral